CCAAGAACUUUGCCGUCCGCCCGCAUAGGCAAUGGAGUAUUCUUCAGGGCACCAGAGGAUCCAUUCUGGUUUUCACCAUUCCCGGCAUGUCGAGUGUGGCUAGAUCGAGGUUUCGCGGGCCACCUCGCUUAGAUCCUGUUGGCUGGAUUUGCCCCUGACAAAGUCCUCCUUUGGUAUAUUUUGGAAUGAUUGCUCUCCUGGGAGGACUGGCGCUGAAACUGUGAAUGCUUGAGAAAAUGUCAUUGAUCGCCAUGGUGUCCAAAGCCUCCGCGUCCUCCGGAGUAGCUGAUAUCCGCCAUGUUUGAAUGGUGGCACCUCAGUGUUGGAGAAGAGCUGUCAUAUCCCCCUCGUACUCGAUGUGUCCACUUCUGUUCCCUAUUUUUUACAGAUUUCUCUUUAUCUCACUAUGAUCAGGAAGGGCAGGAUUCCUCCUGAAAUAUAUUCCAUGACAGACCACUGUCGUGAGAAGGCUGUGGCAAUCUCACCCCGCAAUUUUGAUUGAAUUUCCCCUAACUGAGCCCGCACUGUUCCAUUUCAUUUCUCGUUCUUAAUUCUGCCUACCUUUCUUCUUUACUCUCUCUUGCCUUGCGUCGUCACGACUGCACACGUUUUGUGGUAUCCAUAUUUGAUUUAAAUCUCUCUCUCUCACGGUCUUAGGCUCGCACCGAUCCCUUGGCAUGGGCCAGCCAGUAUAUUCCGGCGAUGAACACCAUCAGUUUAGACAUGGGUUCAGAGAAGGGUUUGGAAAUGCGAUGAACCAAUUCAGCAAUGGAACCCAUGCUGGCAGAGGGCAUGGGAGAAGCAAUAUUGCAGCUAGCCACUUGGUUACCCUCAUAUUCUUGAAACUAAAUCUUCAAAAUCGCUCCUCUAUCAUCAUAACAGCCGCAUUCAGCGUGACUGCCUCGACUUUCGUGAUAUUGAGCGUUAUGUACGGUAGCUGGAAGUUGUCAAGAAGAAUUUAUCGACCGCAUAC
This 973-nucleotide small RNA is filed under the name Histoplasma capsulatum var. duboisii H88. Its description in RNAcentral is "Histoplasma capsulatum H88 hypothetical RNA". Lineage: Eukaryota; Fungi; Ascomycota; Eurotiomycetes; Onygenales; Ajellomycetaceae. The record is from RNAcentral.